GGUGAAGUCCAGAUACAUUAGGGUGAAUCAUGAGCGUCCAUAGAUUGAUGAUAAAUGAAGGGUCAAACGCGUGGUGUGGGUCAACGUGAUUUGAAAGGGCUUGAUGGUGUUUGGAAGUGGUGAAAGAGACGAAACCGUAGAGGACAUUCACAAAACGCACAUUAAUGACUUUGCUUUUCCCAAAACGACAUCCACGUAAUUC
This 202-nucleotide long non-coding RNA is filed under the name Vigna radiata. Its description in RNAcentral is "long non-coding RNA (VRAD_LNC011415)". The record is from RNAcentral. Lineage: Eukaryota; Viridiplantae; Streptophyta; Magnoliopsida; Fabales; Fabaceae.